RNAcentral lists this ribosomal RNA (433 nucleotides) under uncultured bacterium. Its description in RNAcentral is "partial 16S ribosomal RNA". It matches the Rfam family "Bacterial small subunit ribosomal RNA", at positions 29 to 507 of the family's 1533-position model. The record is from RNAcentral.
AACGAACGCUGGCGGCAUGCCUAACACAUGCAAGUCGAACGAGACCUUCGGGUCUAGUGGCGCACGGGUGCGUAACGCGUGGGAACCUGCCCUUAGGUUCGGAAUAACUCCCCGAAAGGGGUGCUAAUACCGGAUAAUGUCUUCGGACCAAAGAUUUAUCGCCUUUGGAUGGGCCCGCGUUGGAUUAGCUAGUUGGUAGGGUAAAAGCCUACCAAGGCGACGAUCCAUAGCUGGUCUGAGAGGAUGAUCAGCCACACUGGGACUGAGACACGGCCCAGACUCCUACGGGAGGCAGCAGUGGGGAAUAUUGGACGAUGGGCGAAAGCCUGAUCCAGCAAUGCCGCGUAAGUGAUGAAGGCCUUAGGGUUGUAAAGCUCUUUUACCCGGGAUGAUAAUGACAGUACCGGGAGAAUAAGCUCCGGCUAACUCCGUG